RNAcentral lists this ribosomal RNA (524 nucleotides) under uncultured Glomeromycotina. RNAcentral's name for it is "SSU rRNA". It matches the Rfam family "Eukaryotic small subunit ribosomal RNA", at positions 569 to 1092 of the family's 1831-position model. Lineage: Eukaryota; Fungi; Glomeromycota. The record is from RNAcentral.
AGCAGCCGCGGUAAUUCCAGCUCCAAUAGCGCAUAUUAAAGUUGUUGCAGUUAAAAAGCUCGUAGUUGAACUUCGGGGUUUACCCAUUGGUCAGGCUUAAUUGUCUGCACUGGUGAGAUGAGUCUCUACCUUCUGAGGAACUUUCAUGCCAUUUAUUUGGUGUGAUGGGAAAUCAGGACUGUUACUUUGAAAAAAUUAGAGUGUUUAAAGCAGGCUAACGUCUGAAUACAUUAGCAUGGAAUAAUGAAAUAGGACGGACUGAUUCUAUUUCGUUGGUUUCUAGGAUCACCGUAAUGAUUAAUAGGGAUAGUUGGGGGCAUUAGUAUUCAAUUGUCAGAGGUGAAAUUCUUGGAUUUAUUGAAGACUAACUACUGCGAAAGCAUUUGCCAAGGAUGUUUUCAUUAAUCAAGAACGAAAGUUAGGGGAUCGAAGGCGAUCAGAUACCGUCGUAGUCUUAACCAUAAACUAUGCCGACUAGGGAUCGGACGAAGUUAAUUUUAUAAUGACGCGUUCGGCACCUUACG